Molecule: long non-coding RNA, 2362 nt
Organism: Lepus europaeus (European hare)
Lineage: Eukaryota; Metazoa; Chordata; Mammalia; Lagomorpha; Leporidae
Exons: 3
Source: RefSeq, a predicted model, not a curated record
UGACUUUAGAAUUACACCUAUUGAGGCCUUUUGGAGUGAGUUUGCCAACAUAUGCUAUUCUUCAGGUCAUUUUAUAGCCCUCGUCUAGUUUAUUGAUCUUUUCCCUCUCAGUAUUGAUGAGUAGAGUUUUCCUUCUUGUCUGCAUUUCUUCCAUUGUGAAGUUAAUUUUUCUCAGUUUAAUGUUUCUGAAAUUGGGAUUGUAUGUGACGACCCAGGGACACCCGUGGUAACCCCCCGACCUGUGAGGUGAGACUCUUGGUAAUGAUAUCCCAGAGCAGGAUUUAUCAGGCAUCUCUCUGAGUCCUGAUUCUGUUCCCAUUUGAUUUGAAUCCGCAUGUCCAUGUACUUUGGAGGGCAACCUGGGGCGCCCGUUGUCCGUCUGCUGACACCACGUUGGUCUUUCCCUCUCCCAUCCCCUGCAUUUUGACCACACAUGUCAAGGUUCAUUUGCUGCUUGUUUGCAAAGUGCGCACCCCCUAGCCAGCUCCUCUGUGUUUGUGUGGUUGAGGAUUUGUUACCUGGUGCAUCUUUGGCUACGAGUUUUUCAUGUCUGGAUUUAUUUCCUAUUUCUUUGUGACCUCAUGCCCUUGCUUCAGUCAUUUUCACCUGUGGCCCAGAACUCAACCACGGUGCCUCCUUGUCACCUGUGCCACCCCGAGGAAUGGAGGCCACUGUGGGGGAGGGGGCAGGUGUUCCCAAAGAUAAGGAGGGGAGGGAACCUGGAGUGCGCCCGCCAGUGGGGAGAUGCCACGGCGCCACGGCAAGCAGUGCGGGUUUGACCACUGACUUCUGUCGCCUGCAUCACCGUACGUUGGCUUGGAAUAAAAGUGCCAAGCAACAGUGCUUUUCUUUCAGAUGUGUCACUGCCGUGAUCCGAUUCACUUUGUGCAGGAGAAAUCUGCAACCCCCUUGGGCCUCGUUGUUCUACGGUGGCCGGUGGCCGUUGUGAUGUUCGGACGGGAUCCUCAGGGUUGCUGCACAUUUUCUCCUGAACAUCAUGUCUCCACUUUGCCAUCUGGAUGAUGGGCAUGCUCCCAACAGAACCUGCCACAGAGGGUCACCCAACGGAUGGAAUAAGCUAACCUUUGUUCAGGACUGGGAACAGUGCUUGGAAUGCAGACACCGCUCUCCUCCCAGAGAGGAAGAGAGUGUGGCCCUCUGCACUGGGGAAUGUGAAGCAGAUCCAAGCCUUUCAACUCGAAAAUGCCCGCACGGUGCAUUGAAGUUUAUUCAGGCUUCCCCUUCCUCCAGUCUUCAGGACACAGACCGACGAGAAGGGAGAACUGAAGACAGAGUGCAGGAAAGGACCCAACCCAGUGGGGACUGCUUGGCAGGCACCUGGCAAGGAGUCUGGGGCUACCUGUGAGCAGAGCUGGGCAGCAGGUUCAAUGGAGCGGUGUGGCAAGGCUGAGGGGCAGAAGUGGCCCAGAGACUGGGGCAGCACUGUAGGUGAUUAAGCAAAUGCUGAGAGCAAAGACCAGUUGGAAAAUCAGAGCCAAGGGGAGAUUUCAGAUGGGAGCUUGGCCACCUGGUGGAGAUGGCAGCCACAGUGUUUGGAGUGUCUGCCUGUUGAGAUGAAGAGAACGAUGAGGAAGCAGUGUUAGGCCGCCCCUUUCUAACCAACAAGUUCUCCACCUUCCAUUGUCUGCUUCCUUUCCUGGGCACCGCUGGUGGUGGGUUUUGAUAAUGUGGUUUGGGCUCUGAAGCCUAUCAUAGUAGAUUUUCAAUUCCAUAAAAAACAGCUGUCCAUCCCAGAUUGACACACAAAUAGGGCACCUAAUCCCGGAGAAUACAGUGGCCUGGGUGUGGUCAGUAGUAGCCUCUGGUCCUCUGAGCACAUGGUGAAGGCAGACGUCCGGAUAGUCACCUGCCUGUGUCAGCUAAGAGCCCUCACCACAUUCUGAACUCUAAUGUGAACGAAGUGUACGUGUGAUGGAUUUGGGUUGAAAAGGUAUCAGGGAAAAGGGAGGGGAGGAUCUUUUGCUGGGUUUGAAUCUACUGGCUGAAAUGUGAUGGCAAACUGUGUCACUGGGGAAGGUGUGGAGAUGUGAGGAGAACCCCGUAUGGCAGACUUAGGCUCAGGGGGCAGUCAGGGAAGGACCCCUUCCCAAGGCUGGGAACAAAACAAAAACUACAGCACAUUCAAGGAUGAGAGAGAGACAGAGAGAGAGACAGAGAGGUCUUCUGUCUUCUGGUUCACUCCCCAAAUGCCCUUAGCAGCUAGAGUAGUGCUGAGUUGAAGCCAGAGCCAGGAAUUCAGUCCACAUCCCCAGCCUACGUGUCAGGAACCCAGUUACUUAAGCCAUCGCUGCUGACUCCCUGUGCUCAUUGACAGGACGCUGGAGUCGGGAGCGGAGCUGAG